GGUGCCAUCGGUUCGGAGGCAAGAGGGACACAGCCACACCGGCAGAAUCCGACCUCACCAAUCAAUACUUAGGGUUCAAGGGCAUCGGCCGACCAAUUAUCCCGGACUAAUUGACGCGAGACGGCUACGAAAAAGCCUGAUCCUCUUCCCCUCUUCCCUUCCGCGACAGCUUCGCUUUGCGAUUCGUAUUUCGUUGUGUUGCAUUUUCUUUCGAACCAUGCCAAUCGGCGAAAAAACGAGAACAAUCGACCGAUAACUUUUUUGAUAAUCAGCGUGAAAGUAAACGUACGUCUCUCCCUCUCUCUCUUUCUCCCCUACAGAGCGAGAUUUAAGUAAAGUGAGUAAAACUCUAUAGUAGAAACUAUAGGGAAAGUUUCAUUACGCAUUAUCACUAUCACCUUCGCUAUCUUUCACGAGAAAUCGCAAAUAUAUUUUGUUUUAAGAUACCAACAUUUUGGUCUAUCUUUACAUUUUCAUCAAAAGUUUGAAGUAAUUACAAUAUGUCUUGUUAUGCGUUGUGAAUUAUUGUUCAGGAACAAAGUACUGUUGAAUAUAUUUUCUUCUUUAAAGAAAACUCUGAAAGCUUGUCCCUGAAAGCACAGAUAUAAAAAGUACCAAGUCUUUUUUUAAUAUAAAAGAUAUCUUUGCGAGAGAGGGAGAGAGUUAGGUCUUAGAGUGUUGCUCAUUUUCGUGACGUAAACUCGAAUUUUAUGAAAUUCAAAAGUUAUAAUUACUUUACAACUUUCGUAUACAACUAUAACCACAAUAUUAAAUGGUAUUGUAACAGACUUUAUUAACCUUAUCUAUAUCACUCCGUCAUCUCUAUUCGCUUUCUAUCAUUUCAAUUAAAAAUCGAGAGAUUACAUUUUAUUUCUUUCCAUUUAUAGAUUUGUCUAUCGCUCAAGUAUUUGCGAUAGAAAAGAAUUUGCGCAUUUAGGCUCGCGAGAAGUACAUCGAUGAAACUGGAAAAAUCCUCGGCAAUUGACGAUCGAAACGAGCGGCAUUUCUAUCCACGAAAGAAUAAGUGUGCGAUCGAAAGGGAGCGAGCGAGGUCCAACAGGUGUAAAUCCGCAAAAAAGAUCGACCUUCGUGGGAAGGUUUCACGGAAACGGAAAGGAGGACGCGGAAGGAACGGGUGGGGCAGAAGGGCGACGGAGGGUUGUUCGCCAAGAGAGCGUACUAAGGGAAAGUAAGGUGCUUUAUAUAUAGAGAGACACUGAAAGAGAGAAAGGAAGAAGAAGUGGAAGAAGUGGAGUAACAGAGAAAAAAGAGCACAGGUGGGGGGGGGGGAGGGGGAAGAGAAAAACGAGGAUAGAACAAAUGGGAUAAGGGGAGAGAGAGACGAGGCGAAAGCACGCCGGUGAGAAGAGAACGCGAGGGGGAAUCCCCGAAGACGGUCGUAGGGUCGUCUCCACUAUUACGAAUACGGCGCCAUAACGGAAUUGAUAAUGUAACGGGCGUCACGAGUAUAUCCUUCUCUUUCUUCCUCUCUCUCUAUCUAUCUUUUCUCUCUCGCUUCUCCGCGCUGCUACAUAACCUCCUUUCUGAAUGGGAGCACGACCCUGGCCGUACCACGUGCUCGCUCGGAGUAAACGUAAGAACACGACCAAGCAAGUGUCUUCCCGCGGAUUUUCGCGAUGCAUUCAAGAGUAUAUAAGAUACUUCGAAAUAGUAUCGAUAUAUUAUACAUCGAUAUUUGUAUUCGUAUUCUAGAUAUCUGAAGAUGUUUAGCUACUGGUCCAGUUCAGUCACUCAUAAACUGUUGAGCAUUACAAAAGUGAAAUUUUGCUGGGGUUUACAUAAUCCGAGUGGGAAGCAUGUAAUUUUUCCAAAACGCAACGAUUGUCGGCGCAAUCGUGUAUUUACGAAUGUAAGGAGCGAGGAAACCAGAUAAUGGGAACGGCGUGGCUUCGCAGUUUAAAGGACUCUCGUAAGAGCGAGUCACUCUUGAUGCCGAUAGCCUUCCCGGGAGAAGAAGUGCGACCUCCGGAUCUUUUUACGAGCGCACCUUCUCAUGGGAUGCUGAGACAGGUGCUACGAGCAUCACAGAUGCACGACUUCGCGAACAAACAAGAUGGUAUUUUCCGUCGAACACGCAUUUUUAUCGUCAACUUACUCACUCAACAAUUGCUCGUAGAGUUGUGCUAUUAUGAUUCGAGUGCUAAACGCGACGGUUUCUCACAUAUAUUAAAAAUAAUCAAGUCAUAAUCAAUUAAGUAAUCACUUAUGGCUUCGACACGUUAAUUAUAACACUGUAGAAAACAGUAUUAAUGUAAUGCACAGAUAUCACAACUUUUCCAGAAGUUUUCUCAUAAAAUUAAGUAUUUUGACACAUUACACUUCAAAUCUUAUUUUGUGUACACAUUAUAUAAAAAGUGAAAUUUUAUUUUAAAAUUCUUUCACAAAUCCUCCACUUUCUGAGGGAAAAUAGACAGCUGAUGCCAGCGGUAGAACUCUCACUAAGGUUGCAACUUCAUUAAAAAUAUAUUAAAUUAAAAAAUACAUUAUAGAUUUAUUUCUCUGACACUUAUUUUCUUUAGAGUUUGUAUUGAUAUGUUGGAUGAGCAAAUUAGUUCGGUACCUUAUUGAAGAAAUUAAAUCUUUAUUUACAAAAAAAUAAACAUGUCAAUCUUUGAAAUAUUCGCCACUACUUUCUAGUAUUUUUCUCCAUCUAUCAGGCAGCUGACGAAUCUCCUCUCGAAAAAAAGAGAGUAAGUCAGUUUUGUAAAAAAAGCACCGAAUUAAGUUGCCUGACUAAUAAAAACGAUUAACAAUCGAAAGAUAACUCGUUGAGUUAAUUUACUCUACAGGCAAAACUCGUAAACUUUAAGUGCGCACGCGGCAUCAACGACACGUGUUGUUAACUCUUAGCCCAUCGUUUUGUGCAAUAAUGUUACUUCAUGUACAAUGUACUUGUCAUAAUAUCUAAGAAAAUUGAUAAUGUACUUUUCAACAAAUCAGAGAAGGUAUCGUUGGUUCAUUUACUUUGGCAGCUUGAAGAUACAUAUUGAUUGAAAAGAUUUGUGUAAGUGAUUAAUACAGAAAAUAUACUGAUAUACACACA
Long non-coding RNA from Ooceraea biroi (clonal raider ant), 3064 nucleotides. RefSeq lists it as uncharacterized. The record is from RefSeq and is a predicted model, not a curated record. Lineage: Eukaryota; Metazoa; Arthropoda; Insecta; Hymenoptera; Formicidae.